RNAcentral lists this ribosomal RNA (460 nucleotides) under uncultured bacterium. RNAcentral's name for it is "partial 16S ribosomal RNA". It matches the Rfam family "Bacterial small subunit ribosomal RNA", at positions 338 to 795 of the family's 1533-position model. The record is from RNAcentral.
CCUACGGGAGGCAGCAGUGAGGAAUAUUGGUCAAUGGGCGGAAGCCUGAACCAGCGAAGUAGCGUGCGGGAUGAAGGCCCUACGGGUCGUAAACCGCUUUUGCACGGGGAUAACACUCUCCACUUGUGGAGGUCUGCAGGUACCGUGCGAAGAAGGGCCGGCCAAUUCCGUGCCAGCAGCCGCGGUAAUACGGAAGGUCGGGGCGUUAUCCGGAUGUGUUGGGUUUAAAGGGAGCGUAGGCCGGAUGUCAAGCGUGCUGGGAAAUGUACGGGCUAAACCCGGGCCUCGCAGCGCGAACUGGCGGGCUUGAGGGCGCGGAAAGUAGGCGGAAUUCGUCGUGUAGCGGUGAAAUGCUUAGAUAUGACGAAGAACCCCGAUGGCGAAGGCAGCUUGCUGCAGCGGAACUGACGCUGAUGCUCGAAAGCGCGGGUAUCGAACAGGAUUAGAUACCCUGGUAGUC